GUGGGUUGGGCGGAUCGCUGCAUGUGAGGGGCGGGGCGAGGAGCAUCCCGGUCUACAGCGAGAGCAAGGCGGGGCAAGGUGCAGGGAGGUGUUUAAGACGAUGAGAUGGCUGGAUGGCAUCACUGACUCGAUGGACCCUCCUGGAAAUUUUGAGGAUUUGGGUCACUUUGCGCUCCCCCUCUGGAUGCGAAGAAAACAUGCACUGGGCGCAGUGGAGAAGAGAAAGCUGGCGGGUUCCGCGGACCAGAGGCAUGGCUGUGGCGGGGCUCCAGCCGCCAUGGCCGCAGAGGCGGCCGGCCUUCCCAGCUGGAAGGCCAAACUCCACAUGGCUCAGUUCCAGAAACACAAGGUUAAAACCUACAGUCUGAUACUGGAGGACUAAGAUUUUACCACGUAUUGUGAGUGUUAAUACCUGAUGUCCACGUGUAGCUUCUUUAUUCUGUUUGACAGAGAGCAGACAGCACAUCCAGAUGGGCCCUAAGCAAACUUCCUGCCCAACAGCACUGAGACCCCAUCUCCAA
Molecule: long non-coding RNA, 521 nt
Organism: Bubalus bubalis (water buffalo)
Lineage: Eukaryota; Metazoa; Chordata; Mammalia; Artiodactyla; Bovidae
Exons: 4
Source: RefSeq, a predicted model, not a curated record